AUGGCGCCGCAGCACUUCCUGGUCGUCGCGUUCCCGGGCCAGGGCCACAUCAACCCGGCGCGCGCUCUGGCGGAGCGCCUCGCGCGGGCCGCACCGGGCGCGCGGGUCACGCUCUCGGCUGCCGUGUCCGCGCACCGUCGCAUGUUCCCCUCGCUCGCGUCCCCCGACGAAGAGGUCCACGACGGUGCUAUCUCCUACAUCCCCUACUCGGACGGCUACGACCACGGCUUCAGCCUCUUGGCUGGCGACGGGGACGAAGUGCAGAGAUACGCGGAGGUGUUCGGCCGCGUAGGCCGCGAGACCUUCUCGGCGGUGCUGGACCGCCUCGCGGCGCGGGGCCGGCCCGUCACGUGCGUCCUGUACGCCAUGCUCAUGUGGUGGGCCGCCGAGGUCGCCCGUGAGCGCGGCGUGCCCCGGGCGCUCUACUGGAUCCAGCCGGCCACGAUGCUGGCCGUGUACUAUCACUACUUCCAUGGGUACGAGAGGCUCGUGACGGAGCAUGCUGCCGAGCCGGGGUUCACGGUGUCUAUGCCGGGCCUCCCGCCGAUGGCGAUCCGUGACCUCCCGAGCUUCUUCACCAACCUUACGGACGGCAGGAUAGUCGCGGCGUUCGGGGACAUCCGCAGGACGUUCCACCAGCUGGACCUGGACGUCGACAGUAGCAGCAGCACUGAAGGAAGGCAAGCCAUGGUGCUAGUGAACACCGUGGAAGAAUUAGAGGCCGGUGCUCUCACAUCUGUCCCUGAGUUGGACGUGUUCCCCGUCGGGCCAGCCGUGGUGUCGCUCUUCACCGAGGGCGGCGGCGGCACUGCCACCGCAGUAGGAGAUCUCUUUGAACACGACGAGAAAGGCUACAUGGAGUGGCUGGACACACAGCCAGCACGGUCGGUGGUGUACGUGUCGUUCGGGAGCAUGUCGGCGGUGAGCAAGCGACAGAAGGACGAGCUGAAGCGAGGCCUCGCCGCGAGCGGCCGCCCGUACCUGUGGGUGGUGCGAAAGAACAACAGAGACGAUGGCUUCGACGACGUCGGCGACAUGCGGGGCAUGGUGGUUGGGUGGUGCGACCAGGUGCAGGUGCUGUCGCAUCCGGCCGUCGGGUGCUUCGUGACACACUGCGGCUGGAACUCGACGCUGGAGAGCGUGGCGUGCGGCGCGUCGGUGGUCGCCGUGCCGCAGUGGUCCGACCAGGACACGAACGCGCGCCUGGUCGUCCAGUGGGGCAUCGGCGUGCGCGCCGCGACCGACGCUGAUAGGGUUCUGGAAGCGGAUGAGCUGGCGAGGUGCAUGGAGAUCAUCAUGGGUGACACGGAGGAGGGCGCAGCCAUACGGGCGAGCUCGGCGGCGUGGAAGGCGAAGUUGCAGGAAGCGAUCGCAGACGGCGGCUCAUCCGGACAUAAUCUGGGGACUUUCCUGGACCAAUUUGCGAAUGAUGCUUAG
RNAcentral lists this ribosomal RNA (1437 nucleotides) under Triticum aestivum (bread wheat). RNAcentral describes it as "partial small subunit ribosomal RNA". The record is from RNAcentral. Lineage: Eukaryota; Viridiplantae; Streptophyta; Magnoliopsida; Poales; Poaceae.